GAUGAACGCUGGCGGCGUGCCUAAUACAUGCAAGUCGAGCGAACAGACGAGGAGCUUUCUCCUCUGACGUUAGCGGCGGACGGGUGAGUAACACGGGGAUAACCUACCUAUAAGACUGGGAUAACUUCGGGAAACCGGAUCUAAUACCGGAUAAUAUAUUGAACCGCAUGGUUCAAUAGUGAAAGACGGUUUUGCUUUCACUUAUAGAUGGAUCCGCGCCGCAUUAGCUAGUUGGUAAGGUAACGGCUUACCAAGGCGACGAUGCGUAGCCGACCUGAGAGGGUGAUCGGCCACACUGGAACUGAGACACGGUCCAGACUCCUACGGGAGGCAGCAGUAGGGAAUCUUCCGCAAUGGGCGAAAGCCUGACGGAGCAACGCCGCGUGAGUGAUGAAGGUCUUCGGAUCGUAAAACUCUGUUAUUAGGGAAGAACAAAUGUGUAAGUAACUAUGCACGUCUUGACGGUACCUAAUCAGAAAGCCACGGCUAACUACGUG
RNAcentral lists this ribosomal RNA (497 nucleotides) under uncultured bacterium. Its description in RNAcentral is "partial 16S ribosomal RNA". It matches the Rfam family "Bacterial small subunit ribosomal RNA", at positions 28 to 507 of the family's 1533-position model. The record is from RNAcentral.